This 1338-nucleotide ribosomal RNA is filed under the name uncultured bacterium. RNAcentral's name for it is "bacterial SSU rRNA". It matches the Rfam family "Bacterial small subunit ribosomal RNA". The record is from RNAcentral.
AGAGUUUGAUCAUGGCUCAGAACGUACGCUGGCGGCACGCCUAAUACAUGCAAGUCGAACGAAGUAGCAAUACUUAGUGGCAGACGGGUGAGUAACAUGUAGGUAUCUACCCUUUGGCCUGGAAUAACACGAGGAAACUUGUGCUAAUACCGGAUAAGUCUUUACGGAGAAAGCUUUAUGCACCAUUGGAUGAGCCUGCACUUGAUUAGUUUGUUGGUGGGGUAAUGGCCUACCAAGACUUUGAUCAAUAGCUGAUUUGAGAGGAUGAUCAGCCACAUUGGGACUGAGACACGGCCCAAACUCCUACGGGAGGCAGCAGUGGGGAAUCUUGCACAAUGGAGGAAACUCUGAUGCAGCGAUGCCGCGUGAGUGAAGAAGGCCUUUGGGUUGUAAAGCUCUUUCGUCGGGGAAGAAAAUGACUGUACCCGAAUAAGAAGGUCCGGCUAACUUCGUGCCAGCAGCCGCGGUAAUACGAAGGGACCUAGCGUAGUUCGGAAUUACUGGGCUUAAAGAGUUCGUAGGUGGUUGAAAAAGUUGGUGGUGAAAUCCCAGAGCUUAACUCUGGAACUGCCAUCAAAACUUUUCAGCUAGAGUUUGAUAGAGGAAAGCAGAAUUUCUAGUGUAGAGGUGAAAUUCGUAGAUAUUAGAAAGAAUACCAAUUGCGAAGGCAGCUUUCUGGAUCAUUACUGACACUGAGGAACGAAAGCAUGGGUAGCGAAGAGGAUUAGAUACCCUCGUAGUCCAUGCCGUAAACGAUGUGUGUUAGACGUUGGAAAUUUAUUUUCAGUGUCGCAGCGAAAGCGAUAAACACACCGCCUGGGGAGUACGACCGCAAGGUUAAAACUCAAAUGAAUUGACGGGGACCCGCACAAGUAGUGGAGCAUGUGGUUUAAUUCGAAGAUACGCGCAGAACCUUACCAACACUUGACAUGUUCGUCGCGACUUUAAGAGAUUAAAGUUUUCGGCUCGGCCGGACGAAACACAGGUGCUGCAUGGCUGUCGUCAGCUCGUGUCGUGAGAUGUUGGGUUAAGUCCCGCAACGAGCGCAACCCUCACUUUUAGUUGCCAUCAUUAAGUUGGGCACUCUGAAAGAACUGCCAGUGAUAAGCUGGAGGAAGGUGGGGAUGACGUCAAGUCCUCAUGGCCCUUACGUGUUGGGCUACACACGUGCUACAAUGGUAUUUACAAAAGGAAGCAAAACGGCGACGUUUAGCAAAUCCUGAAAAGAUACCUCAGUUCGGAUUGCACUCUGCAACUCGAGUGCAUGAAGCUGGAAUUACUAGUAAUCGUGGAUCAGCGUGCCACGGUGAAUGCGUUCCCGGGUUCUUGUACACACCG